UACCUGGUUGAUCCUGCCAGUAGUGUAUGCUUCUCCUAAAGACUAAGCCAUGCAUGCCUUCGAAUAGAAGAGCAAGUCUCUCUGAAUCUGCGUACGGCUCCGCAAACCAGUUGUAAACCAUAGCUAGCAGGCCUCGGAGACGACCGCAAGUCGUAGCUGGGGCCAAAAGGAUAUCCAUGGUAAUUCUGAGGCUAAUACUUGACUGUAACCCCUGGCUGACCGGGCAACUGGUAGGCUGGGGGACGUGUACGGCUUCGCACACCAUUAAGGAAUGAAUGCACGUUCAGACCGCUUUUCAACACAGAUAGGGGGUAAUCCUUCGGGAGAUAACCCCUGCCUGAGCGGCUCUAGCACGGUGCUUCUGACCUAUCAACUAGAUGGCAGCGUAACGGACAUGCUAUGGUGACAACGGGUACAGAGGAUAAGGGUUCGAUCCUGGAGAGUGGGCCUGAGAGAUUGCUCACACUUCUAAGGAAGGCAGCAGGCGCGCAACGUUCCCAUUGGACAAUGUCCGAGGGCGUUAGGGGACAUAUGAAUGUCUGCCUUAUGGUGGACAAUUCAAAUGGGUUUGUUCUAAACAACCUUUCGAGUAACAAUUGGAGGACAAGUCUGGUAAACGAUGCCAGAUGUCGGACAUUCCAAUAUUCGAUCGCUAUUAAUGGAGAUCCUUCCCUAAAUUCGAUUAAGCUAUUAUGAGGGUGGGUCCUUCCGAAGCGGCUAACCACCGCUGGAGGGGGGGUUCGGCAGAAAGCCGGGUGAGCUCCGGUUGUACAGCUGUAAAUUGCGGGGAACGCCAGGCAUGGGAAAGCUACCAAAGCCUUCGGGAAAUACAUAACCAAGGUCCGCCUUCGGGUGGGGUAACAAUGCGAUCCAGGGGGCUAACAGUCCAGCCCAGCCGACCAUCCUACUACCAAGGGUGGGAAGCACCACACUGGCCAAUCCGCAGCCAAGUCGCUAUCCUUCCGCAAGGGGGAGAGUGCGGAAGGUUCAGAGACUAUAAUCAGUUGGGCGAAAGCUUAAGGGAUAGUCCACUCCCACUGGUAACAGUGUCGGCAGAAGUAAGGAGGAGUAGCUCCCUCCCGAGGCAUGCCGGGUCCUACAAGUGCGGGGUUAAAUGCCCGUGCGAUGCUACAGGACGGUUCUAUAGGGCCAGCACCCGCGGUAAUUCCAGCUCUAAUAGCAUACGUUAAAGUUGUUGCGGUUAAAACGCUCGUAGUCUGCAUAAGAUCCUCAGAAGCCUUUCGCUAGGUCCUUAGGUUCGUCGCCCUGCCAAAGGGCACACCUGGGGGUCAGCAAGGGGGGGACGGGGGUCAACCGUACACUGGGCCGUCUCCCGUCUAACGGUGUUCACAGGGGCUCCUGGCUGGCUUCGGCUUCCGGGCGGCUCUGGUCUGGGUACCAUCUACCAUGACUAAACUGGAGUGAUCAAAGCAUGUCUUUCGACACGUACAGCGCAGCAUGGAAUAAGCUCACCCAUCUGGCCCGCGAAACGGGCUGGCGAGCAGAAAUAGGGAUGUUCGAGGGUGACCGAAUUGCUGGGCGAGUGGUGAAAUACGUUGACCCUAGCAAGUCGACCAAAGGCGAAAGCAGUCAUCAAGGGCAUACCCGUUGAUCAAGAGCGAAAGUUAAGGGUUCGAAGACGAUCAGAUACCGUCGUAGUCUUAACUAUAAAUGAUACAGACUAGGGAUAGGACACUGUCCAUCUCGACUCCUCCUGAAUCUUUGAGAAAUUACCAGUCUUUGGGUUCUGGGGGGAGUAUGGUCGCAAGGCUGAAACUUAACGAUCUCCAAAUGGGUUUCAAAAGUCGGCUCAAAGUGUCCGGCUAGUCCGGUGGGGAGGGCUUCGGCCCUUCCCACUACCCGGUGAAUCGACACUGGUUUCAAGGGCAACAUCGUCAAAUUGUUCGGGAACUCCCUAAAGCUUCAGCUACCGGUCGUGCGGUUAAUAGCCGAAAAAAUCAAGGGCAUUGAUCCCCUAACGGGGGGAGCCGCUUGCGCGAUCACCAGGGUAAUGACCUCGGGUAUGGUAAAAACGCUGGGGAUGAGAGUCGGGAUUAGCCUCCUAGCUCGUUGAAAUGGGUGACCCGCAGCCAAGCUCGUUAAUCGCCCUUCGUGGGUGAACGAGUGCAGUUCACAGGCCAAAUGUCGGUGGGCUUCGUUUCCGAUCCGCGAAAGUGGAGACGAUAGGAGCAUAAGAUAUGGUCGGCCCCCUUGGGAAACCUUGGGGAAUAAGCGUAAAGGAAUUGACGGAAGGGCACACAAAGAGUGGAACCUGCGGCUUACUUGUAGGCCGCCAAAGCAUCGCUUAAAGGGCUUUGCUAGUCACGGUCUAGGCCGGGGCGACAUCAUCAAAUUGCGGGGAAGUCCUUAGAGCCAGCGUAACCAACCACGGCCGAAAGGCGGAAAAAUACAGGGCGUUAAUACCUCUUUGAGUGGGGGAGUCGCUGUCGUGGGGCCCGGGUAAUGACCUUGGGUACGGUAAAAUCACGUUGGAUUGGAUCAUCCGCAGCCAAGUCCCUAAACGUAUUCGGAUUAGUCCGUUUACAGGGAUGCAGUUCACAGACUAAAUGGUGGUGGGUGGUAUGAGCGUUUUACGCCAUACUGCUUAAGAUAUAGUCGGGCCCACCCGAAAGGGUGCCCUGGGAGGAAGCCGAUCUAAUCGGCCCAAGCUCAGGGAGGUCGAUGGUAGCGAUACCGUCGGCUGGGAACCUUACCGUAAUUUGACUCAACACGGGAAAACUCACCAGGUCCGGAUACACGUAUGAAAGUCAAGCUGAAAGACUUUACUCAAUGAUGUAAGUGGUGGUGCAUGGUCGUACUAAGUGCGACAGUGCCUGUAAAACCAGGUGCUAGUGGGCCAGGUGCGCUAUUGCGAGCAUCUGUAACCUGCGACAUUGUCAAAUUGCGGGGAAAUCCAAAGUGGGCUGCAGAUCCGCCUCGGCAUCGAAAGGUCUGGCCGACGGCACCUCAGGGAAACUUGGGGGUAUGGUAAGAAUCUGUAGUCUUGGACCAUCCGCAGCCAAGUCCUAACCACCCUUUGAUAAGCCCUUAGCUCAAAAUGGCGAGCUAAGGCUAUAAGGUUGUAUGGAUGCAGUUCAACGACUAAAUGGCAGUGGGCUGGGUAGCCGGCUUAAGAUAUAGUCUUGCCCACCGGAAGGUGGCCUUGGGAUGAGGGGACUAGCAAUCCCCAGAGCCUAAGGAGGGGUUGUUACGCAUGCAGCCCUGGGAACUAACAGUCUUAGUUCGUGGAUUGAUUUGUCUGGUCUAUUCCGAUAACGAGCGAGACCCCAGCGUUCCUAGUAGGGCCAACAGCCCGACUAGCCGCAAGGCUGGUUAGCUGGCGGCUUAACAUAAGCUUCUUAGACGUAUCAGAGCCGAUAAGGUUCUUGAAAUGGGUUAAUAACAGGUCAGUCAUGCCCUUAGAUGUUCUGGGCCGCACGCGCGUUACAAUGGCAUGUAAAGCGAGUGCCGGUUAACAUGGCAUAUCCGGGGCCGAAAGGUUCUGGUAACCAUUAGUCCCUGCUUAGACUGGGACAGAUCAUUGCAAUUAUUGGUCUCAAACGAGGAAUUUUUAGUAAGCAUAGGUCAUUAACCUUUGCUGAAUGAGUCCCUGCCUUUUGUACACACCGCCCGUCGCUGCUACCGAUUGGGUUUUACAGUUACGCGUUCGGAGGUUGUGGUUACCUGCUUGCCUUCGGGUAGGUAGGGGCCGUGACUGAAGUUCUAAUUACUGUACGGCCUAGAGGAAGCAGAAGUCGUAACAAGGUAAUCGUAGGUGAACCUGCGUUUGGAUCAUUA
This 3798-nucleotide ribosomal RNA is filed under the name Fuligo septica. RNAcentral describes it as "18S ribosomal RNA". It matches the Rfam family "Eukaryotic small subunit ribosomal RNA". Lineage: Eukaryota; Evosea; Eumycetozoa; Physariida; Physaraceae. The record is from RNAcentral.